CCUAACGGGGGCUGCAGUGGGGAAUAUUGGACAAUGGGCGAAAGCCUGAUCCAGCCAUGCCGCGUGUGUGAAGAAGGCCUUCGGGUUGUAAAGCACUUUCAGUGGGGAAGAAAGCCUUGGGGCUAAUACCCUCGAGGAAGGACAUCACCCACAGAAGAAGCACCGGCUAACUCCGUGCCAGCAGCCGCGGUAAUACGGAGGGUGCGAGCGUUAAUCGGAAUUACUGGGCGUAAAGCGCGCGUAGGCGGUCUGAUAAGCCGGUUGUGAAAGCCCCGGGCUCAACCUGGGAACGGCAUCCGGAACUGUCAGGCUAGAGUGCAGGAGAGGAAGGUAGAAUUCCCGGUGUAGCGGUGAAAUGCGUAGAGAUCGGGAGGAAUACCAGUGGCGAAGGCGGCCUUCUGGACUGACACUGACGCUGAGGUGCGAAAGCGUGGGUAGCAAACAGGAUUAGAUACCCUGGUAGUC
This 465-nucleotide ribosomal RNA is filed under the name Vreelandella stevensii. RNAcentral describes it as "partial 16S ribosomal RNA". It matches the Rfam family "Bacterial small subunit ribosomal RNA", at positions 338 to 795 of the family's 1533-position model. Lineage: Bacteria; Pseudomonadati; Pseudomonadota; Gammaproteobacteria; Oceanospirillales; Halomonadaceae. The record is from RNAcentral.